Molecule: long non-coding RNA, 403 nt
Organism: Corvus hawaiiensis (hawaiian crow)
Lineage: Eukaryota; Metazoa; Chordata; Aves; Passeriformes; Corvidae
Exons: 3
Source: RefSeq, a predicted model, not a curated record
UAAAGUUUCCACCUAUUUUUCUAUUUAGCAGCUUGUCCUGCUCUCACCAGCACUGCAGUGCAGGGCCUGUUUUCCAUGGCUUCUGACUUCCAACACAGGUCAUACCCAGUGUCCAUCUAGCGCAGUGACCUCCUGGUAGCAAUGUCCAUGCAAAGAACUAUUGAAGAAAGUAAGAAAAGGGCAAAUACACCAAGUCUCUGCAACCUCCCAGCUUCUAGGUCAAACAUGCUGAGUACCUCCUGUGGACUUUGAGAGCUGUUCCUCUGGAAAUCAGGUCACUGAUGUGAUGCUGGAAGGAGAAAGCACAAGGAAAAAGAAGUACUCUGAUUUUCAAACACAAGUGUUUGUACAGUUUAGGGAAGAGAAUAAAAUGAAUAAAUAAACCUGUUUUAAAAUACCUUGU